GAGGAAACACUAAGGAGCAAGUGAAUAAACACCAAAAGCUCACUCACACAGAUGCAGUAUGGAAAACUCAAUGAAACAGUGAAUUUAGGAGUAGAGCAACACAACACGGAUGAAAGCAAUGAAACAGUGACUUAUCUGGAAUGUGGAUCAGCAACAAGGCUCUGAAUACCACUUGAUAAGCCUCUCCAUUGCCUGGUUGAAGGUAGAACCCAAGAAAGCAGAGGUUCCAGCAG
This 233-nucleotide long non-coding RNA is filed under the name Vigna radiata. RNAcentral's name for it is "long non-coding RNA (VRAD_LNC015811)". Lineage: Eukaryota; Viridiplantae; Streptophyta; Magnoliopsida; Fabales; Fabaceae. The record is from RNAcentral.